This 1164-nucleotide long non-coding RNA is filed under the name Olea europaea subsp. europaea. The record is from RNAcentral. Lineage: Eukaryota; Viridiplantae; Streptophyta; Magnoliopsida; Lamiales; Oleaceae.
CUUUUUGAUCACCAUUCACGAUCCCUAUACCGUCUGGAAACUUCAUAACAAGAUGGAAGGUGGAUACAAUGACCCUGAUUUUAUUGAGUAGUGGUCUCCCGAUGAUGGCAUUGUAGGCCAUCGAAGCAUGGACUACGUGAAAGGGAGUGACUUCUGUCACCUGCUUUUGCCCUUAGCCCAAUGUUAGUGGAAGAUCAACGAUUCCUUCUGGGAUGAUUGUUCUACCCCCAAAUCCCUGGAGUGAUAUUUUGACUGUCUUGAACUGGUUAACAGAAAUACCCAUUUUCAUGAAAGCCUCUUGGGACGGCACAUUGGCCGCACUUCCAUUGUCAACCAAGACCCUCCUUACUUCAAAGUUGGCGAUGAUGGCAGAUAUGACCAAGGCAUCGUCAUGGGGGUAUGAUAUGUCUUUUGAAUCCUUUGAUCCAAAUGUGAUAUCUUUCAUGUCGUUGGGAGCUGUCAUUUGUAUGGAACUGUGUCGUCGGGCAUAUUGUUUGCACCCAUUAUUUGAAUCUUCCCCCGAGGCAAUCCCCUCGAUUAUAAGGUUGAUGGUACCUGCUAUUGUUUGGUUACCUCCCCCAGAUUCUGUGGUCUUUCCAUUGUUGCAAUCAUUCCUGGGAUGUUUGUCAUGCCUAAUAUACUCCUUUAGGAAUCCUCUUUUUAUCAAAGCUUCAAUCUCACGUUGCAAUGUAAUGCAAUCCUCUGUAGUAUGCCCAUGGUCACGAUGGUAGUCACAGUACUUGUUCUUGUUCCUGGUCUCAAGGGGAGACCUCAACCUCGGUGGCCACUUGAACUCCUUCAUAUCUUUGAUUUCCAUCAAUAUGUUUGACCUAGAGGUGUUCAAAUAUGUAAGUGUUGGUGGUGUGCCCUGCUUCUGCUUUCCUCUGGCAAGGUCUUGCUGUAGAUACAACUCACGCUGCCUCUUAUGCUUGGCCCCAUCAAAAGUCGGACCAACUCUCCUUAGAUUCAAUGUUUCUUCCAUAUUAAUGUAUUUCUCUCCUCGGGUCAGAAGCUCGGUCACUGACUUUGGGGGAGUUUUUGACAAACUCAUUUUGAAUGUUUCACAUCUUAUAGCAUGGGUGAGGGCGGAAACUACUGCUGUGAUAUGGAGAUCGGGGAUCUGAAGUCUUUCUUUAUUAAACCUCUUCAUGAAGUCACGUAGGG